This 332-nucleotide long non-coding RNA is filed under the name Trifolium pratense (red clover). Its description in RNAcentral is "long non-coding RNA (TPRA_LNC008617)". The record is from RNAcentral. Lineage: Eukaryota; Viridiplantae; Streptophyta; Magnoliopsida; Fabales; Fabaceae.
UGAGUCGAGCAUCGAUGUCGACGGAACCUCCAAUAGUGUUUACCCCCGGAUUUUUCUUUUCAGUUUUCUUGGGGGUUGCCACGGUGCUUAGAUUUUUUGCCGCAGCCUCGAAGCAUCUCCUCGCAGCAGCUAUGUCGCCGUUGAUGGUGGCGACCUGGCCGUCCGGUGUGUAGUAUUUCAGCUUCAAGUGAACGGUGGACGACACAGCAAACAACUCCGCUAAGGUAGUUCUGCCGAUGAUGCAGUUGUACAGCGAAGGACAGUCGACGACCAUGAAUUGUGUCCUCACGGAUUUCAUAGCCUUUUCCUCGCCGAAGGUGACGAUGAGGUCC